GAAAAAACGAAAAUCGGAUAACGGGACUUUGAUUCGUUUUUCGUAAUCUCGUUUUUGACACAGGGGGCAACCCGGAAGUAGUUUCCGCAGAUUCUUAUUGUGAAAAUCUGCUGCACUGCGCCCGCUGUAGCUGUCUUUCGUCCAGGGAAAGUGAUCAUUUUAUUGUUGUUUUGUGACCGUAAAAGGAAAAUCGGAGACCGGAGGACAUGAUAAUACAUCCUUUCCAGGUGAAGUUUCUAGAAGCAAAGUUCCAGAACAGUUUCUGCCAGAAGAACAGAGGGCAGCUCUACGAGGAAGUACAACGGAGACUCAAGUCAAGUCUCUAGAAGCAAAAUUCCAGAAAAGUUUUUGCCAGAAGAACAGAGGGCAGCUCUACAAUCAAAGGAUUUUAGUGGAGCUGGGGUCCAGUGCCGAGGAAGCUGGGAGCACGUGUGAGCAGGAGCUGGGGUCCAUUACCGAGGUAUCUUAGUCGAGCUCUCGCCUU
Long non-coding RNA from Oryzias melastigma (Indian medaka), 484 nucleotides. RefSeq lists it as uncharacterized. The record is from RefSeq and is a predicted model, not a curated record. The transcript has 4 exons. Lineage: Eukaryota; Metazoa; Chordata; Actinopteri; Beloniformes; Adrianichthyidae.